AAUGCGCUAUUGAAAAGAAGAAAAAAAAGUGUGAAAUUAGAGAUCCAAAAAAUAGCGUGCCAAAUAAUAUUUCCCUCUCACUUCUUUCACUUCUGGUUUGCUCUGCACGCUAUACCAACGCCAGCACCCUCUGAAAGGACAACUGCGCGAUACUCUCCCUCUCACGACUGACGUUGAACCGGCGACGACGACGACAACGAGACGUUCAUCUCCGUCCGUCGUCGUUGUCUCUGUUCAUCCUCACUUUCAUCACACGAUUUCGCAAGGGGUAUUCUAUUUCUCGGCUUCAAUCUCUCAGACUUCCGAUCUCUCGGCUUCAUCUGGGUCUCUCCCUUUUUCCUGUUGGCUUUCUAGGUUCGACUAAUGAUUCGAGAUCUUAAGUUCCACAUCCUCUGACCUUCGUUUGUCUCCGACGACCUCUGCUGACUAUCUCUUUGCAUCAACAAGAUGACUCAAAGGUUACAAGUGGCUAUAUUUCUAAUAUAGCAAGAGGAGUUGUUGCUUGGAAAUCCAAGAAACAUAUAACAUUAGCCCAAUCAACGAUGGAGUCAGAGAUGAUAGCACUGGUUACUGUUAGUGAAGAAGCAAGUUGCCUUCGAAGUUUGUUAUCAAAGAUUUCCACAUGGGAAAUACCGAUACCAACCAUACUAAUCCAUUGUGAUAGUACUGCAGCUAUCGCAAAAGUUCAGAACUGUUGUUACAACGCUACGAGACGAUAUAUAGAUAUGUCGAGCACAGUACCAUUAGAGAAUUUCUCACUAUUGGUGCAGUGAUAGUAGAUUACGUAUGAUCUGAUGACAACUUGGCUGAUCCUUUGACGAAAGGACUAGCAAGAGAGAAAGUUUUCUAAACCUAAAAAACAAUGGGACUUUGGUAUGCAACCCUAAAUCAAGAAUUGUAAAAAUGUGGCAACGAGACUCUAGAAUUUCUAUAGAAGGAAAAUACCCGAAUGUCUAGUAAAAAGACUAAAUUAACCCUA
This is a long non-coding RNA of Cucumis sativus (cucumber), 979 nucleotides long. RefSeq lists it as uncharacterized. Lineage: Eukaryota; Viridiplantae; Streptophyta; Magnoliopsida; Cucurbitales; Cucurbitaceae. The transcript is spliced from 3 exons. The record is from RefSeq and is a predicted model, not a curated record.